Molecule: long non-coding RNA, 628 nt
Organism: Fundulus heteroclitus (mummichog)
Lineage: Eukaryota; Metazoa; Chordata; Actinopteri; Cyprinodontiformes; Fundulidae
Exons: 2
Source: RefSeq, a predicted model, not a curated record
UGUUUUUGGGGUCGUCGUCGGGGCGUCGACGCAAGCUGGGGGGGUAGACUGUAGCAGCAUAAAUGGUACGCUGCCACUUUAAGGUCUAUUUCAGCUGCUGCAUAUAAGCAGGUAUCCACCUGCCACGAAGUUGCUUGCGUCAUGACGUCGUAUCAUUUUGGUUCCUGUGUCUGCUGAACUGUGCUGGCUUCUUUCGUUGCUCCUCCAAAACCUGGACUGAUCUGUUUGUGUUUGCUUGGUGCUGGGAAGCUGCGCUGCAUAGGCGGAAUUGUGACUCCGUUUAUUUGGCAGCCUGGUAAUGAAACAGCUUCCUGAUGAGUCUUUGACCACCAUAAUACUGGAUUUGACACUCGCUGCUGUUUUGCCUAUAAAGAACUGUUUCGCCUAAAGAAAUUCUUAAAAGGACCUAUCUGGACUUUCCCCCUGCUGCCGGGAGCAUUGAUGACACUACCAUCCGGAAAAAGUGCAAUAUUGUAGUGCUAUUGUACCACUGUUUUACUCAUAUCGUUUCAUUUUUGCCUUUCUUUUAGGGACUGAGGCUUCUGUGGUGGCGGUGGUGAUCCCUGGUGGCGUUGUCGGUAUCCCAUAUUAACUUUAACAUCUUACAUUUGGGUUUCAUAAAAAAAAA